This 536-nucleotide ribosomal RNA is filed under the name uncultured bacterium. Its description in RNAcentral is "partial 16S ribosomal RNA". It matches the Rfam family "Bacterial small subunit ribosomal RNA", at positions 355 to 901 of the family's 1533-position model. The record is from RNAcentral.
UGGGGAAUAUUGCACAAUGGGCGAAAGCCUGAUGCAGCAACGCCGCGUGAGGGACGACGGCCUCCGGGUUGUAAACCUCUUUUAGCAAGGAAGAAGCGAAAGUGACGGUACUUGCAGAAAAAGCGCCGGCUAACUACGUGCCAGCAGCCGCGGUAAUACGUAGGGCGCAAGCGUUAUCCGGAAUUAUUGGGCGUAAAGAGCUCGUAGGCGGUUUGUCGCGUCUGCUGUGAAAACCCGAGGCUCAACCUCGGGCCUGCAGUGGGUACGGGCAGACUAGAGUGCGGUAGGGGAGAUUGGAACUCCUGGUGUAGCGGUGGAAUGCGCAGAUAUCAGGAAGAACACCGAUGGCGAAGGCAGAUCUCUGGGCCGUAACUGACGCUGAGGAGCGAAAGGGUGGGGAGCAAACAGGCUUAGAUACCCUGGUAGUCCACCCCGUAAACGUUGGGAACUAGUUGUGGGGUCCAUUCCACGGAUUCCGUGACGCAGCUAACGCAUUAAGUUCCCCGCCUGGGGAGUACGGCCGCAAGGCUAAAACU